Molecule: non-coding RNA, 635 nt
Organism: Chelonoidis abingdonii (Abingdon island giant tortoise)
Lineage: Eukaryota; Metazoa; Chordata; Testudines; Testudinidae
Source: RefSeq, a predicted model, not a curated record
AAAACGAGCUCACGUCAGGCGAGUUCAGGUCAGGCGAACGAGCUCAGGUCAGGCGAACAAGCUCAGGUCAGGCGAGCUCAGGUCAGGCGAACGAGCUCAGGUCAGGCAAACGAGCUCACAUCAGGCGAGCUCAGGUCAGGCGAACGAGCUCAGGUCAGGAGAACAAGCUCAGGUCAGGCGAACGAGGUCAGGUCAGGCGAGCUCAGGUCAGACGAAUAAGCUCAGAUCAGGCGAGCUCAGGUCUGGAGAACGAGCUCAGGUCAGGCGAACUCGGGUCAGGCGAACUCGGUCACGUCAGGCAAACAAGGUCACGUCAGGUGAGCUCAGGUCAGGCGAACGAGCUCACGUCAGGCAAGCUCAGGUCUGGUGAACGAGCUCACGUCAGGCGAACUCAGGUCACGCGAAUGAGCUCAGGUCAGGUGAGCUCAGGUCAGGUGAACGAGCUCAGGUCAGGCGAGCUCAGGUCAGGCGAGCUCAGGUCUGGGGAACGAGCUCACGUCAGGCGAACUCAGGUCAGGCGAACGAGCUCAGGUCAGGCAAACGAGCUCAGGUCAGGCGAACUCAGGUCAGGCGAAUGAGCUCAGGUCAGGCGAACUCAGGUCAGGCGAAUGAGCUCAGGUCAGGUGAACGAGGUC